RNAcentral lists this ribosomal RNA (200 nucleotides) under uncultured bacterium. RNAcentral's name for it is "partial 16S ribosomal RNA". It matches the Rfam family "Bacterial small subunit ribosomal RNA", at positions 1301 to 1500 of the family's 1533-position model. The record is from RNAcentral.
CAGGCUGCAACUCGCCUGCAUGAAGUUGGAAUUGCUAGUAAUCGCGAAUCAGAAUGUCGCGGUGAAUACGUUCCCGGGCCUUGUACACACCGCCCGUCACACCAUGAGAGUCGAUAACACCCGAAGCCUGUGAGCUAACCGUAAGGAGGCAGCAGUCGAAGGUGGGGUUGAUGAUUGGGGUGAAGUCGUAACAAGGUAUC